Molecule: ribosomal RNA, 468 nt
Filed under: uncultured bacterium
Lineage: Bacteria
Description: partial 16S ribosomal RNA
Rfam family: Bacterial small subunit ribosomal RNA
Source: RNAcentral
GACGAACGCUGGCGGCGUGCUUAACACAUGCAAGUCGAACGGAAAGGCCCUGCUUUUGUGGGGUGCUCGAGUGGCGAACGGGUUAGUAACACGUUAGUAACCUGCCCUUGACUUUGGGAUAACUUCAGGAAACUGCGGCUAAUACCUGAUAGGAGCUCCUGCUGCAUGGUGGGGGUUGGAAAGUUUCGGCGGUUGGGGAUGGACUCGCGGCUUAUCAGCUUGUUGGUGGGGUAGUGGCUUACCAAGGCUUUGACGGGUAGCCGGCCUGAGAGGGUGACCGGCCACAUUGGGACUGAGAUACGGCCCAGACUCCUAAGGGAGGAAGAAGUGGGGAAUAUUGCACAAUGGGCGGAAGCCUGAUGCAGCAACGAGGAGUGAGGGAUGACGGCCUUCGGGUUGUAAACCGCUUUCGCCUGUGACGAAGAGUGAGUGAAGGUAAUGGGUAAAGAAGCACCGGCUAACUACGUG